This 154-nucleotide ribosomal RNA is filed under the name Nocardiopsis sp. L17-MgMaSL7. The record is from RNAcentral. Lineage: Bacteria; Bacillati; Actinomycetota; Actinomycetes; Streptosporangiales; Nocardiopsidaceae.
CGUGGUGGUUUUGGCAGGAGGGUCACACUCGGUCUCAUUCCGAACCCGGUCGUUAAGUCUCCUUGCGCUGAUGGUACUGCCCUGUUGUGGGGUGGGAGAGUAGGUCGCUGCCACGGUUUUUCUUGGUAGGGAGGGGAAGGGCUUGUCCUUUGGG